Molecule: ribosomal RNA, 253 nt
Filed under: uncultured bacterium
Lineage: Bacteria
Description: partial 16S ribosomal RNA
Rfam family: Bacterial small subunit ribosomal RNA
Source: RNAcentral
UACGGAGGGUGCAAACGUUGCUCGGAAUCAUUGGGCGUAAAGCGCACGUAGGCGGCCCUGCAAGUCAGAUGUGAAAUCCCUCGGCUUAACCAAGGAAGUGCAUUUGAAACUGCAAGGCUUGAAUACUGGAGAGGGUCGCAGAAUUCUCGGUGUAGAGGUGAAAUUCGUAGAUAUCGGGAGGAAUACCAGUGGCGAAGGCGGCGACCUGGUCAGAUAUUGACGCUGAGGUGCGAAAGCGUGGGGAGCAAACAGG